This 71-nucleotide transfer RNA is filed under the name Tarletonbeania crenularis. Its description in RNAcentral is "tRNA-Gln". It matches the Rfam family "tRNA". From Rfam's summary of the family: Transfer RNA (tRNA) molecules are approximately 80 nucleotides in length. Their secondary structure includes four short double-helical elements and three loops (D, anti-codon, and T loops). Lineage: Eukaryota; Metazoa; Chordata; Actinopteri; Myctophiformes; Myctophidae. The record is from RNAcentral.
UAGGAAGUGGUGUAGUGGAGGCACGGAGAGUUUUGAUCUCUCAAGGAGGGGUUCGAGCCCCNUUUUUCUAA